GAUGAACGCUGGCGGCGUGCCUAAUACAUGCAAGUCGAGCGAACAGACGAGAGUGCUUGCACUCUCUGACGUUAGCGGCGGACGGGUGAGUAACACGUGGGUAACCUACCUAUAAGACUGGGAUAACUUCGGGAAACCGGAGCUAAUACCGGAUAAUAUUUAGCUUCGCAUGAAGCAAUAGUGAAAGACGGUUCUGCUGUCACUUAUAGAUGGACCCGCGGUGUAUUAGCUAGUUGGUGAGGUAACGGCUCACCAAGGCAACGAUGCAUAGCCGACCUGAGAGGGUGAUCGGCCACACUGGGACUAAGACACGGCGCAGACUCCUACGGGAGGCGGCAGUAGGGAAGCUUCCGCAAUGAACGAAAGUCUGACGGAGCAAUGCCGCGUGAGUGAAGAAGGUUUUCGGAUCGUAAAACUCUGUUGUAAGGGAAGAACAAGUACGUUAGUAACUGAACGUACCUUGACGGUACCUUACCAGAAAGCCACGGCUAACUACGUG
This 499-nucleotide ribosomal RNA is filed under the name uncultured bacterium. Its description in RNAcentral is "partial 16S ribosomal RNA". It matches the Rfam family "Bacterial small subunit ribosomal RNA", at positions 28 to 507 of the family's 1533-position model. The record is from RNAcentral.